AUACUGUUAGAGGGAUAGCUUGGUUUAAAUCUUGAUGAAGGACGUGGCAAGCUGCGAUAAGCCUUGGGGAGCUGCAUGCAGGCAUUGAUCCGAGGAUUUCCGAAUGGGAAAACCUAAAUAAUCCGAGAGGAUAAAUUACGCUGGGAAUUGAAACAUCUUAGUACCCGGAGGAAAAGAAAACAAUAGUGAUAUCCUUAUUAGCAGCGAGCGAAAAGGAUAUAGGGCAAACUGAAUCUCUUCUGAAAGGAAGUAAGAGAUGUGGUGAGUAAUAAGUUCUAAGUCACACAGUCGAAGUCUUUUGGAAAGAGGCACCGUAGAAAGUGAUAGUCUUGUAGAUUUAAGUGAUAUGAACUUGCUCGAAAGAGUAGUGUUUCCUGGAUUGGAGGCAUGAAUAUAGCAGAAUUAACUGCUAACCCUAAAUAUUGAUUUAAGUCCGAUAGCGCACUAGUACCGCGAGGGAAAGCUGAAAAGGACCCUUAAAAGGGUGUUAAAAGAUUUGAAAUCUAACAGUUACAGUUGGUUACGGCCCUAAGGGGUUGUAACGUACGUCUUGAAAAACGGACCAGGGAGUUUAUCUAAGUGGCAAGAUUAACCAAAGGAAGUCGUAGCGAAAGCGAGUUUGAAAGAGCGUUAGUCACUUGGGUAAGACUUGAAGCCAGAUGAUCUAUUCGUGAGCAGGAUGAAGUUUUUCGAAAGGAAAAUGGAGGUCCGAACCGUUGUUGUGUGCAUGCACUUGGAUGACUUGCGAUUAGGGGUGAAAAGCCUAUCUAAUCUGGCAAUGGCUAGUUCCUGUUGAAAUAUGCCUACGUAUAGUCUCAUUGCUUGGUUCUCCUACGGUGUAAAGUACGGAUAGUUUGUGCAGAGCGCUCUAGCUACGGCAAACUUUCCAACUCAGAAGCUGUGGGAUGCAUGUAAUGGGAAACAGGGGCGGUGCGUAAGGUACUGUUCCGAGACCCGAACAAGGGAGACCGUGGUUAAGGUCCUAAAGAUUAUGUUAAGUGUAUCAAAAGGAGUUCUAAACCUGAGACAGUAGGGAGGUAGACAUAGAAGCCGUCACCCUUUAAAGAAAGCGUAACAGCUCACCUAUUGAGGUUUGGAGCCCUGAAAAUGGACGGGGCUAAAACAUAACACCGAUACCGCGGACGUACUCAUUUGAGUAUUGUGGUAAACAGGCGUCUUUUCUGCAUAGAAGUUUCUUCGAGAGAAGUGGUGGAGCAGGAAGGAAUGAGAAUCCUGGUAGGAGUAAGAACAAAUUUUGCUGAGAACCGCAAAAGAUCGUAAGGGCAAGGUUUCCUUGGCAAUAUCAAUUAACCAAGGGUUAGUCGGCACCUAAGUGAUGCCUUAACAGAGUAUCGCGAAUGGACAGUAGGUUAAUAUUCCUGCACUGAAAUAAUCUUAAGAUAUAUAGUUCCACUUCAGGAUAAGCGAACAUCCGAAAGGAUGAUGGAUGCAAGAAAGUGAAGGAGCGUAAUGCUUAGAGCUCAUUGAAUUGCAUUCGGGAAAGUCGUUGAUUCCAGGAGUCAGUGAAAAGAUUAUAUAUUUGAUUAUUUUAGCCGUACCCAGAAUCGGCACUGAUGCCCUAGCUGAGAAGGCUAAGAUCUGAAAGUUUAAUCUGGUUAAGGGAAUUCGGCAACAUUGGCCCCUUAGCUUAGGUAUAAGGGGUGCCUAUCUUUGUUUAAGCAAAUUUUUGUGUACGCAUUGAUAGGUCGCAGUGACAAAGAUGGUUCGACUGUUUAUCAAAAACAUAGCUGAUUGCUAAUCUGAAAAGACUUGUAUAAUCAGUGAGACCUGCCCAGUGGUGGUGUCUAAAAUUCCUUUUCAAGGGAGCUAAGGCCCAUCAAACGGCGGGCCUAAUUCUUGAGGCUCUUAAGGUAGCGUAGUACCUUGUCGUCUGAAUGGCGACUUGCAUGAAUGGUUUAACGAAAUCGUCGCUGUCCCUAACCAGAAGCUUCUGAAAUUAUUGUCUGGUGAACAGACCAGAGACGCCUAACGGGAAGCUAAGACCUUAUGGACCUUUACUGCAACUUGUUGUUGUGAGUUUAUAAUUGAUGCCCAGAAUAGGUAGGAGAAUACGUGUAGUUUCGGCGAAACGGCAUGUCGUCCUUGUAAUACUACCCAUCGUUUAUGGAUCCACUUACUCUUUUAGAGGACAUCAUCAGGCGGGCAGUUUGCCUGGGGCGGGACCCCUCUGAAAAGAUAUCGGAGGGGCCCAAAGACAAGCUCAUCCAGGUCGGAAAUCUGGAGUAGAGUGCAAGGGCAAAAGCUUGUUUAACUGCUUUUUGAAAAGCAAGAAAAGCAGAAUUGAAAGAUGGGCCUAUCGACCCAUUGGUGGCUUUUAAUGAGCCCCAAUUGUGACAGAAAAGGUACCCUAAGGAUAAUUGGGUUGUCUCGCCCGAUAGUUCAAAUUGACGGCGAGGCUUGCUACUCCGCUGUCGGCUCUUCCUAACCUGGUCGUGCACAAGCGACCAAGGG
This 2472-nucleotide ribosomal RNA is filed under the name sediment metagenome. RNAcentral's name for it is "bacterial LSU rRNA". It matches the Rfam family "Archaeal large subunit ribosomal RNA", at positions 15 to 2640 of the family's 2987-position model. The record is from RNAcentral.